Octopus bimaculoides (California two-spot octopus) is the source of this 3610-nucleotide unclassified non-coding RNA. Lineage: Eukaryota; Metazoa; Mollusca; Cephalopoda; Octopoda; Octopodidae. The record is from RefSeq and is a predicted model, not a curated record.
AGAGAUCCCACUUUUCAUUGCUUUUGGAAGUGAUCACGUCAAAAAUGGGACACAACGGAUCAAUGGAUUGAUAAACAAACGUAUUCAUAUAUAUAUUAAUGCAUACACAUAGACAAGAAGAUUGAUUGACUGAUUGAUUAACUGACUCAAAAUAUACAUGCAUAUAGUACACAGUGAAACUGCAGCUAAGGAUAUUAAAGCCAUUUCAUUGUCGUAAGAUACGAAGCUGUGGCUAAAUAUGAUAGAAGAUAUAAGAAGGUCAACGUUCGAAAUUUAAGCGUACGAAACUGUAGACAGUCCUGUCCGAAAAAAUGCUUGUGUUUGUUUGGGUAAGAAGUACAACUUUCGGAUUAUCUGCUUAAGGCUGAAAACGACCUUACAAUGGAAUUUGACCACAUGCCAAAGAAAAUGUUGUGGAAGAUUUUGCAGGAGUUGAGAUUAAAGACCAAUUCUGUUUGCUGUGAAGCCCCUAUAUAAAAAUCUAAUGACUCUUCCAGAAUAUUGGAUGAGAGUGCCUUAAAAGUAUCAUCAGUUUUUAUCUUCUAUUAAAGACACAAAAAAGAUGUUAUGCAGAACUAUUCUAACACUGUUUAUGUAAAUAUGUAGUGAAUUAGGAUGAAAUAUUUCUUCACAUCAUUUAUUAACAGCCUAUGUUUACUUCAUUGUCUGAGCUGUUUACAUGAUCAAUUCACAAUCUUAGGGAAAAUUUCCAAAAAAAGUUUACAUCUUCACAAACUGUGAAGCAUAAAUAUAGCAGUAGAAUUAUUUCUUUGCAAGAAAAUAGAAAAUACAAAGCAGAACAGCAUCUGUACAUUGUGGUGAAAUACAAAGAAUUAUGGAGAAAGAAAUAUGUGAGAACCAGCAAAAAUGCAAAUCACAAUCAAAGGUGAUUGAUUUUCCUGCUGAGAAAUUGAAACUGAAAGGGACAAGUAACCUACCUACUCAAAAAUGUAAAAAUAGUAGAGAGAAAUACUAUCACUGUGAUAUCUGUGGUAAGUCAUUCUUUCGAAAGUAUGAGGUUGCUAUACACAAACGUAUUCAUACAGGAGAGAAACCUUAUCACUGUGAGAUCUGUGGUAAAUCAUUCUCUGUAAAUAGUUCUUUAACUAAACAUAAACGCAUCCAUACAGGAGAGAAGCCAUAUCACUGCAAUAUUUGUGGGUAUUCGUGCUCAGAAAAAGGGGCUUUGGUGCAACAUAAACGAGUUCAUACUGGUGUGAAACCAUAUCAUUGUGAUAUCUGUGACAAAUCAUUUACUCAAAGAAGUAAUUUAACUAAACACAAUGUUAUUCAUACAGGAGAAAAGCCUUAUCACUGUAAUAUCUGUGGAAAGUUAUUCUCCUCAAAUGCUAACUUAACUAUUCACAAACGUGUUCAUACUGGUGAAAAGCCAUAUCACUGUGAUGUAUGUGAUAAAUCGUUUGCUCAAGCUACUGAUUUAACUAAACAUAAACGCAUUCAUACAGGUGAGAGACCAUAUCAAUGUAAUAUUUGUGGUAUAUGUUUCUCUGCGUGUACUCAGUUAAUCAUUCAUAAACGUGUUCACACAGGAAAGAAACCAUAUCGUUGUGAUAUUUGUGGUAAAUCUUUCUCCCAAAGUAGUUACUUAAUUCCUCAUAAACGUAUUCAUACAGGUGAGAAGCCAUAUUGCUGUGCUAUCUGUGGUAAAUCGUUUUCUUAUAGAAUUUCUUUUACAAACCACCAACGUAUUCAUACAGGACAGAAGCCUUACAACUGUGAUAUCUGUGAUAAAUCAUUCUCACGCAAUGAUUACUUAACUAAUCACAAACGCAUUCAUACAGGAGAGAAACCAUAUCAUUGUGAUAUCUGUGGUAAAUCAUUCUCGCUGUAUUGUCAAAUAGGGAUUCAUAAACGCAUUCAUACAGGUGAAAAGCCCUAUCACUGUGAUAUAUGUGGUAAAUCAUUCCCACAGACAUGUGGAUUAACUACUCACAAACGUAUUCAUACUGGAGAAAAACCAUUUCAGUGUGAUAUCUGUAAUAAAUCAUUCACUGUGAAUAGUACUUUGACUAAACAUAAACGUCUACAUACAGGAGAGAAGCCACAUCACUGUGAUGUCUGUGGUAAAUCAUUCUCACAAACUGGCAACCUAACUCAACACAAACGGCUUCAUACAGGUGAGAAGCCAUAUUGCUGUGAUGUCUGUGGUAAAUCCUUUUCUAAAAAUUGUUAUUUAACUCAACAUAAACGCAUUCAUACAGGAGAGAAGCCAUAUCACUGUGAUAUCUGUGGUAAAUAUUUCUCUCGUUGUGCUAACUUAAUUAAACAUAAACGCAUACAUACAGGAGAGAGGCCAUAUCACUGUGAUAUCUGUGGUAAAUCAUUCUCAGAAAGUGGUACGUUAAUUAAACAUAAACGUGUACAUACUGGAGAGAAGCCAUAUCACUGUAAUAUCUGUGGAAAAGCAUAUUCAAAAAAAUGUUCUUUGGUUAAACACAAAUGCAAUCCUACAAAAGACUAAAAUUAUCCAUGUCAAAAGUCAUUCUCUGAAAAAAAAAAGAAAUUAUAUAUAUAUAUAUAUAUAUAUAUAUAAAACAAUAAAUGUAUUCACAGAAGAAAUAAGAUGUGUAGGAUAACCUCUCUGAACAGUAUAUAUAGUACUCAAUUAGAUGUGUUUUGGUGAAAUGUCUUACAACUGUAAUAUUUUCAAUAAAAAACAUUAUUUCUGAGGUGUUGUGUAUACGAGGUCUGAUCAAUAAGUAUCCGGUCUGUUGCCAUAGUAACGAAGCUAAAGCAUGCAGAGUAAAGCUGCUUAGCACAGAUUGACCUUGACCUCUGCUGGGCAUGUGCACUAAGUUUUAACAUUCUAGCUCACUUCUACUGUUUACAGCAGUGCUUUGAAGUAACAUGAUUGUUGCAUUGACCAUGACAGAAAAAGUUGUCAUGGUGAGACCUACUCAGAGACCUGUGCAGUCUUGAUGCAAUCAGAGAAAUUCCAACAUAUAUGACAGCUAUUCCAAAAGUCUACUUUUCCAGUUUCCUAUUAGGAGAGGUGGAAUGAGUAAUAUUUACAGCAUUUUUCACUUUGAGAAAAAAAGGAGUGGCUGUGUGGUAAGAAGCCUGCUUCCGGUGAACCAGAAUGGACAUUUAACAUAUGAUGGCAGCUCCCACUGUGGAUUUUAGUAAAAUUGAAGCACCAGCAAUCACAAAGUUCCUCUUUUUGCAAGGCAAAGGAGCGGUGGAAAUCCAUGACGAGAUGAAGAAAGUCUUGAAGGAUGGCUGCCCAUCUUAUUCCACAGUGAAAAUCUGGGUGUCAAGGUUUCAAACUGGUCAUUUUGAGGUCAUAGAUGAACCCCGGUCAUGUCAGCUAACUUGUACCAAAGAGAAGCCAUAUCACUGUAAUAUCUGUGGAAAAGCAUAUUCUAAAAAACGUUCCUUUGUUAAGCAUAAAUGUAAUCCUACAAAAGACUAAACUUCCAUGUCAAAAGUCAUUCUCUGAAAGCAUAUAUAAAACAAUAAAUGUAUUCACAGAAGAAAUAAGAUGAGUGGAAUAACACCUCUGAACAGUAUAUAUAGUACUCAAUUAGAUGUGUUUUGGUGAAAUGUCUUACAACUGUAAUAUUUUCAAUAAAAACAUUAUUUCUGUGGA